UUUUUGGUUAUUGUCUCCCUCCGGUGCGUUUAAUCCGUGUGUUAAGUGCUAUGUUUACAGAGCAGCCCGGUGACAAGGAAGAAGAAGAGCGCUGCCAGCCCUGCAAGCACGCCAGCGCUGCAAGUCCAGCACUACGAAGAAUCACCCAUCCGUCAUCAUGCUUCGAGCUUAAGAUUGGAAUUCUAUGGCAGAUUAUUAUGAUAUUUGUGAGUACAUGAGCCUUUUGGAGGAAGCAAUUCCCAAGUAUGGAGUUACGCAGAUC
This 262-nucleotide long non-coding RNA is filed under the name Salvia miltiorrhiza (redroot sage). RNAcentral's name for it is "long non-coding RNA (SMIL_LNC012844)". Lineage: Eukaryota; Viridiplantae; Streptophyta; Magnoliopsida; Lamiales; Lamiaceae. The record is from RNAcentral.